CGUAUCUAUAUGAGGUACAAAAGAUUCACGUCCUACCCACAAAACGAUGUAUUCUUCAACUAGUGAAACUGAGUGGCGAGUACAACUCCUCCAUGGGCGCGGUUCUGGUGUACCACAACAAUGACUGGCGUGCAUUCAAAGCAGUGUAAGGGCGGUGAAAACAUUUUCAAAAAAUGUUCCAUGGAGUUUUGCAGGAAAAUAUGCAUCCGUAUAUUGCAGCCAAAAGAAUAUCGUUGAUAAAGGUUUCCAGGUGCGUAUCAACCCAAAUUAUUGGAAGUCCAUGCACAGUUUCCAUGGUUACGUGGAGGUGCACGUGGACGGGAUUUGGGGCUCUGUGUGUAACCAAAACUGGACUGACAAGAACGCUUUUGUUGCC
Long non-coding RNA from Dreissena polymorpha, 376 nucleotides. RefSeq lists it as uncharacterized. Lineage: Eukaryota; Metazoa; Mollusca; Bivalvia; Myida; Dreissenidae. The transcript is spliced from 3 exons. The record is from RefSeq and is a predicted model, not a curated record.